This 960-nucleotide ribosomal RNA is filed under the name Agaricus dolichocaulis. Its description in RNAcentral is "partial large subunit ribosomal RNA". It matches the Rfam family "Eukaryotic large subunit ribosomal RNA", at positions 31 to 980 of the family's 3401-position model. Lineage: Eukaryota; Fungi; Basidiomycota; Agaricomycetes; Agaricales; Agaricaceae. The record is from RNAcentral.
GAUCUAGCAUAUCAAUAAGCGGAGGAAAAGAAACUAACAAGGAUCCCCUAGUAACUGCGAGUGAAGCGGGAAAAGCUCAAAUUUAAAAUCUGGCGGUCUCUGGCCGUCCGAGUUGUAAUCUAGAGAAGUAAUGCCCGUGCUGGACCGUGUAUAAGUCUCCUGGGAUGGGGCGUCAUAGAGGGUGAGAAUCCCGUCUUUGACACGGACUACCAGUGCAUUGUGGUAUGCUCUCAAAGAGUCGAGUUGUUUGGGAAUGCAGCUCAAAAUGGGUGGUAAAUUCCAUCUAAAGCUAAAUAUUGGCGAGAGACCGAUAGCGAACAAGUACCGUGAGGGAAAGAUGAAAAGAACUUUGGAAAGAGAGUUAAACAGUACGUGAAAUUGCUGAAAGGGAAACGCUUGAAGUCAGUCGCGUUGGCCGGGGAUCAGCCUUGCUUUUGCAUGGUGUACUUUCUGGUUGACGGGUCAGCAUCAAUUUUGACCGCUGGAAAAAGACCUGGGGAAUGUGGCAGCUUCGGCUGUGUUAUAGCCCCUAGUCGCAUACAGUGGUUGGGAUUGAGGAACUCAGCACGCCGCAAGGCCGGGUUUCGACCACGUUCGUGCUUAGGAUGCUGGCAUAAUGGCUUUAAGCGACCCGUCUUGAAACACGGACCAAGGAGUCUAACAUGCCUGCGAGUAUUUGGGUGGAAAACCCAAGUGCGUAAUGAAAGUGAAAGUUGAGAUCCCUGUCGUGGGGAGCAUCGACGCCCGGACCAGAACUUUUGGGACGGAUCCGCGGUGGAGCAUGUAUGUUGGGACCCGAAAGAUGGUGAACUAUGCCUGAAUAGGGUGAAGCCAGAGGAAACUCUGGUGGAGGCUCGUAGCGAUUCUGACGUGCAAAUCGAUCGUCAAAUUUGGGUAUAGGGGCGAAAGACUAAUCGAACCAUCUAGUAGCUGGGUCCUGCCGAAGUUUCCCCUCAGAAA